CGUUACUUUACAACCAUAACCAACCAGCUUUCUGGAAAAUACAACAAAAUGAAGCCAUCACGUUAGCUUUAGGGAAUUUGACAUAUAGGUGAACACACAUUAAAGAUGCAAUGCACCUAGGCAGUUAGCCCUUUCUAUCAUGCAUUUACUUCAGUUACGUGCGUCAAUCCAGCUUCUUAUAAUUGUGCCCCUUUUGAAUGUCUCCCAAACUCUCUUUUAUUUUCUUUGUUUCUCAUUCUCUUUCUCUUUCAUUUUUUUUUCUAUUUUUUUCUUUUUCUUUUUAAUGGUGGUCAAAUAUUAUGUGGAUUACCUACGUAUCAUGUCCCCGCAUGAAUCAGACCGUAUGUAACUGACAGAUAAAAGGUAGACAACAAUAAAACUUUUUUUCAAUUUUUAAUUUUCAUAAUAAAACAAACUUGACUACAAAGUUUUAAAAACUGACCAUACUAACAGACUUUGACGAAAAGACGACCUACAGACUUGAAAAUCAAACAUCGUACAUACUCUAAUCAAAAGAAUUACAAACUCAAAAACAAAUGGGCAGAUACCUUUCCAAAUUUGUCAAUUUCAACCAAAUGGCUAUUUUUGCAAACAUGGCCCCUUCCCAAUUUCUCAUGAACUUUGAGGUCGGGGAGGAUUAUUUUAUGAUAUUUUAUAAAUUUAUCUAUUCUUUUAUGAAAAUAGCCUUUCGACAACUGAAAGAUACUCUAAGGCUAUCUCGGCAAGAAUAGUGUAAUACACUGUCGAAGCUGGCUCGAGUUAUUUUGACCAAAAAUCCAAACGGCAUUCACUUGGCCACUGACUAUUUUUUUUCCUUUUUUUAAAUUAAAAUAAAAGACUUGAUUUUGCAAACACGUCCUUUCAGCACCUUGAGGACGAAGAUUUUAAGGCUGCGCUAGCUAACCGCCCAAAAUCUUAAAAAUGACCAAAGGUGGUUGGUUAUGAAAAAUCAACCUUUCGGCGUCCCUUUGGGAAAAUUUGGCUAUUUUUGACAAAAAUGCAUCACCCGAUUUAUUUAUGACAAAAAUUAAAAUUUUGGUAUUUUUUGGAUAUUUUUUGCAAAAAGGGGAGGUUGAACCCGAUGAGGUUGCAUACGUAUCUCACAUCCGGUGAGAAUCAAACAUGCAUAAUUUGGGCAAGAAAAAUAAACUAAAUUUGAAAACAAGACUCUAUUUUUUUCAAAUAAGUUAAACUAAAAAACACUUUUCUUUCAUUUUUAUUUUCUCAAAAUUUCGGCAGGGUUUUGAAACUACUUGGGCAUUGGUUUUAUUUUUCUAAAAAUAAGUAGUUAUCUCUCUACACUGCUAUUUUUUUCUUUUUCUCUUUUUCACAAUUGCCGGUCAACAUGUAAAUUUGAAGCAGAUAAAUGCGUAAAACAAGUAGAAUGCAGCAGGAUGGUCAUUUCAUUUCAGGUUGCUUGUCCUAGACGAACCCAACCCAUGUGUUGAGUCCCUUAAGUAAAAAAUCCAUACGAUGCACACAAACGUUCCUACUAGGGAUCCGGCAUAAGGUAUUGUUAUACUAGGUUUAAUGCUUGGAGAAUAUUGUUCUAGACCUGACUUACCCAAGCAGACAGCUCGAGCCGAAGUGGGAGCAACGUACCAGGAGCAAGAAAGUCUGUCCGGCCUAGUUACUCGAUCCAACCUCGUUCUAUUUGGUAUGACUCCUAACACAAAGUGGGCCACGUGCACAUGUGCUCCAUAGAUUCAGAAGACUUAGGCAGAAGAAGGGUUUCGUAGCAGUUUAUAUACACUGUUCAAAUAAUAUCAAAGCAGUAAAAAGUAGCAUUUUACACAUUAAAUCCAAAAAUAUAAUAAAAAUCAGAUAAUAAACAAAGCUAAAUACAAAAUUAUUCUAAGCUCGAAUUAUUGAACCUUGAACAUCCCCCAGCAGAGUCGCCAGAGCUAUCGCACCUCCUUUUUACCUACACCCGCAAGGGCGUAUCAGAGUUUUCCCAAUUAAAGGACAAUCGAAAUGGAAUUUAUUAUUAAGAUUCAGAGUCGCCACUUGGGAAAUUUAUGGUGUCCCAAGACAUUGGUUGAAUCCUGAAUCGAGGAAAAGAUUGACUCUGCAUUACAGUCCGCAAACAAAAACUCCGAGUAAGAAAUUGUGUUAACCCGGGAGAAGGUGUUAGGUUUCCCGAGUUCCGCGGUUCUAGCACAGUCGCUCAACUGUUAUAUUUUGCUUAAGUUAUCUGAUUUUAACAAUUAUAAACCUAUGUGCAAAUUUUAACCUUAACCACUUUUAUUCAUUUUUAAAGAAAAUUGCAAUGUAUUUAAAACAAGUCUUGAACCAUGUCACAUAAAUGCACCCGUGGUUUUUGGACAUACUUUAACAUCGUUGGGAUUUGGAUUUGAGUCUACAGUCCGCAAACAAAAUAUAAUAAAAAUCAGAUAAUAAACAAAGCUAAAUACAAAAUUAUUCUAAGCUCGAAUUAUUGAACCUUGAACAUCCCCCAGCAGAGUCGCCAGAGCUAUCGCACCUCCUUUUUACCUACACCCGCAAGGGCGUAUCAGAGUUUUCCCAAUUAAAGGACAAUCGAAAUGGAAUUUAUUAUUAAGAUUCAGAGUCGCCACUUGGGAAAUUUAUGGUGUCCCAAGACAUUGGUUGAAUCCUGAAUCGAGGAAAAGAUUGACUCUGCAUUACAGUCCGCAAACAAAAUAUAAUAAAAAUCAGAUAAUAAACAAAGCUAAAUACAAAAUUAUUCUAAGCUCGAAUUAUUGAACCUUGAACAUCCCCCAGCAGAGUCGCCAGAGCUAUCGCACCUCCUUUUUACCUACACCCGCAAGGGCGUAUCAGAGUUUUCCCAAUUAAAGGACAAUCGAAAUGGAAUUUAUUAUUAAGAUUCAGAGUCGCCACUUGGGAAAUUUAUGGUGUCCCAAGACAUUGGUUGAAUCCUGAAUCGAGGAAAAGAUUGACUCUGCAUUACAGUCCGCAAACAAAAACUCCGAGUAAGAAAUUGUGUUAACCCGGGAGAAGGUGUUAGGUUUCCCGAGUUCCGCGGUUCUAGCACAGUCGCUCAACUGUUAUAUUUUGCUUAAGUUAUCUGAUUUUAACAAUUAUAAACCUAUGUGCAAAUUUUAACCUUAACCACUUUUAUUCAUUUUUAAAGAAAAUUGCAAUGUAUUUAAAACAAGUCUUGAACCAUGUCACAUAAAUGCACCCGUGGUUUUUGGACAUACUUUAACAUCGUUGGGAUUUGGAUUUGGGUCACAUAAAUGCGCACCCGAGUUUAGGGAUGUAAUGUUAUUAAAAUACACACCUAAAGAGACUAACGCAUUAUUAUUUUGGGGAGGACUGUGAAAUUCGCUAAAAGACCCGUCUCGAAAUCUAAGUAUUUUAAUAUAUACAUUUAACAGGGGCCCUGCAAUUUAUGUAUUUUGUUUAGCAAGGCUCAUCCAGUUUUAUUAUUUUAAAGUGCAAACCUAGAGCAAUUUAUAGUUUCUGCUUAAUUUUCUCUAAAAUAAAAGAAAUGUCUUAAUUAAUUUGUUAUUGGACUGAUGCAAACUAAGCAAUAUUUUUGCACCAACAUCCGACCAUUGGGGUCCAAUGUGAGCCUAGCAGAGGGAAUUUAAAACCAGAUAUACACCAUAAAAUCGUCCAAAACAGACCUUGGCCCAGACCUAAAUUAAAAAGGGGCCAAAACAGGCCUGGGCCGUGCAUCAGUUAUCCUGAGGCCCAAACGUUUAGGGACUAGCCUGUUAAGCCCUGUAUUUUACAAUAAAUGGAAUUUUAAUUGAAUUAAGAAAACCAAUAUAAUUAAUCUACUACUAAAAUUAACUAGCCAGUAAAAUAAAUUCAAUGCAACAUUAAACAUGAGUUGGAAAGCAACUGAUUUCAGAUUUCAUGACCCACGUAAACUGCUUCUGAUCACAAUUUCAAACAUGGUGCAUACUAGUUUAAAUUUUAAAUUCCCUACUAUGACUCAUUUUUAUUAAAAUGCUGACUCAUAAACUUUGAUUAAACACUAACGUGACCACAUAUGAGAAUUGAAACUCGAGAAUUAAGGAUGUUGGACGAAAAUAGAUUGCCUAACCUUACGAAUUACAUAUCUCAUAUCUACUUUUAGCUUUCUGAUUUCGAACCCACACACAAUCACUCUAACUCAGAAUUAUAGAUUAACUCACAUCAUCACUACUAAAUAUAAAACUCCCAUGAUCAGAACAAGUAUCACACUACUUUAACAGUCUACAGCCUCAUUAAUCACAACUUGAAAAUAUCAUUUAUACAGAUCUAGGAAAAUUGGAAGCUAAACUAAUAGAAACUAUCAUGUUAGUCCAGCAUGGAAUUAUUACAACGAAUACUCAACUAAACUCAUAUGCAUUUCUAAAUAUCUAACACACACUUAACGGUUCAAAUGCACAAACUUAUGAUUAAUAGUCCAUUAGUACGGUUAUUACAGUACAAUGAAAGCAGUAAAUCAACAAUAGGCCUCCACUUCAACAAUAAUAGGCCUCCACUUCAUUCAUUUUCAAAUGGAUAUUUACAUACAUCGAAUUUCAGGACAUGUACCUGGUAUGUAGAAUAGAAAAAUGGGGUAAGCAAUCAGCAACAACAAACAGCAAAAUACAGCAGCAGAAAGCCUAACACAAUAGCUUCAACACCUCAAUCCAGAAAUCCCAGCAACACGGAGAAAACCAGUAAAAAUAGAGAAGAAAAAUAGUCCGAAAAUCUCUCUUUGUUUUCUAUUUCUAGCUUUGAACUCUCUCUGGCUUUCUUCCGCUCUCAAUAUUUCAGAAAUUUGGUUUUAUCCUUUUACUCUCUCCAAAAUGAAUUCUGCCCCUGUAUAUUUAAGGUAUCAAAAAGGUAUAUCGCGUGUAUACGGCUGUCUCCUCCCCCUCUUUUUUCGUCUCCUCUACUUUUUU
Molecule: long non-coding RNA, 4865 nt
Filed under: Nicotiana benthamiana
Lineage: Eukaryota; Viridiplantae; Streptophyta; Magnoliopsida; Solanales; Solanaceae
Description: long non-coding RNA (NBEN_LNC024083)
Source: RNAcentral